GAAAAUUUUCAUUGAAUUCGUAUGAAAAUGAAAAUUUUAUACAUACAUACAUAUAUAUAUAUAUUGAAUUUGACUAAAUUAUUAAUAAUAAUAAAACUUUUAACAGAUAUUUGUCCUCUCUACAAACCGGAUAUGAUAGCAACACUCUCUCUCAUUCGAUUACUUUCGCGCUCGGAAUUAGACCGAUUUAUCUUUCCUUUUUUUUUUUGCAUGUGUGUUCGCGUCUAGCGUCGUUUAAGAAUCUUUGACUACUAUUGAAGUGUAUAAAAAUAUGUAUAGAAAUUUAAUUAUGUAUUAAUACUGAUUACAAUAAUAUGAUAUAAUACAAAAGGAAAAAUGCGUAAAUAAUAAUAACAACAAGAAUAAUGUAAAAUUGAUUUAUGAGUACAUGAUUAGAAUUAAAAAUGCAUAUUACAAAUUUUGGAUAUGGAUGCGGAUAAUUAAUGGUGGCUUAUAUAUAUAUUAAAAUCAACGAAAAAAAAGAAAAUAUAAAGUUCAAAAUGCCAGGCUAUAUUAAUUUCAAAAGGGGCGGUUUAUUUGGGGAUGUACAGAAAAUCCCCUUCCACAACCAUAUCGCUGUAUGGUCUGGUAGCGACUGUCGAGGGGUCUUCCCCGGAAAGAUCUGAUUCUGUGUAGUGUUGUUGGAAUCAUUUAUAGUGAUUCUCCCAAUUCGAGCAACAGCUCCUUCAGUCUCAGUGUUGACUUCGUUUUGGGGAUCGGUUGGUGGUGGCAACUCACCCGGUCCGGACGAAUUAGAUUCCGGUGGCGGGGCUGGUAACGCUAGUAGAUUUCGGUUGUUUUCAACUAUUGAUGCUCGUGGAGG
Molecule: long non-coding RNA, 823 nt
Filed under: Androctonus crassicauda
Lineage: Eukaryota; Metazoa; Arthropoda; Arachnida; Scorpiones; Buthidae
Source: RNAcentral